This is a non-coding RNA of Schistosoma margrebowiei, 45 nucleotides long. NCBI's taxonomy places the organism in Eukaryota, Metazoa, Platyhelminthes, Trematoda, Strigeidida, Schistosomatidae. The record is from Rfam.
ACCCUGCUGAUGAGUUACAAAUAGGACGAAACGCGUGUCCUGGAU